UUAAUUUGACUCAACACGGGGAAACUUACCAGGUCCAGACAUAGUAAGGAUAGACAGAUUGAUAGCUCUUUCUCAGGUUUCAUUCUUUGCGAUUCCGGGCC
Molecule: non-coding RNA, 101 nt
Filed under: Symbiodinium microadriaticum
Lineage: Eukaryota; Dinophyceae; Suessiales; Symbiodiniaceae
Description: Eukaryotic small subunit ribosomal RNA
Rfam family: Eukaryotic small subunit ribosomal RNA
Source: Rfam by way of RNAcentral